GGCAACGUGCCCGAGUGGUUAAGGGGAGAGAUUAGAAUGUCUAAUUAUCUCUUACGGUUUCCGUGCGUAGGUUCGAAUCCUGCCGUUGUCG
Pneumocystis jirovecii is the source of this 91-nucleotide transfer RNA. It matches the Rfam family "tRNA". From Rfam's summary of the family: Transfer RNA (tRNA) molecules are approximately 80 nucleotides in length. Their secondary structure includes four short double-helical elements and three loops (D, anti-codon, and T loops). NCBI's taxonomy places the organism in Eukaryota, Fungi, Ascomycota, Pneumocystomycetes, Pneumocystales, Pneumocystaceae. The record is from Rfam.